This is a long non-coding RNA of Erigeron canadensis, 497 nucleotides long. RefSeq lists it as uncharacterized. The record is from RefSeq and is a predicted model, not a curated record. NCBI's taxonomy places the organism in Eukaryota, Viridiplantae, Streptophyta, Magnoliopsida, Asterales, Asteraceae. The transcript is spliced from 3 exons.
CAUCAUCAUAUCAUAAUCUUACUUCUUUUCUUCUUAAAAUUUUCGUAUUAAUUAUUAAGGGAGUAAGAAAACUAACCAAUAAACUUAGUAAUAUUAAUAAGAAUCUUCAAAGAUUUGUAUGGAACAAGUGUUCAUCCUCCUUCUUGCUUCAUUUUCGGAUUUUAAGCUCAAGGUUGCGGACAUUUGGCGAACUUUGGACAAACAUAGCUUGAAAUUAACCUGUUAUUGCUUUGCUUGGCAAAGGUAACCAGGUGAACCCGAGACAAGAUGCUUGAUUUGAUAGACUGUUUGGACCUAGGCUUGUACUUACAUGGAUCAAGGAUUCAUUUGCCCUUAUUCAUGCAUUAUGUACUUGUUUGUCGAUGUUGGAUUCACCAAAUCCCUUAUGUUCAUAUAGUUCAGGUUUCACGAUAAUCUCAUGCAUACGCUAUAUCUUUUCGGUAAUAUUUCGAGUCCAGCUCAGGGUGUUACAUCUGUAGUUACUUUUCCCAUUCAUA